GUUAGGAAUAUUGGACAAUGGGCGCAAGCCUGAUCCAGCCAUGCCGCGUGAGUGAUGAAGGCCUUCGGGUUGUAAAGCUCUUUAGCCGAUGAUUAUAAUGACUGUAGUCGGAAAAUAAGCCCCGGCUAACUUCGUGCCAGCAGCCGCGGUAAUACGAAGGGGGCGAGCGUUAUUCGGAAUCACUGGGCGUAAAGCGUGCGUAGGCGGCUUUGCAAGUUGGGAGUGAAAGCCCAGGGCUCAACCCUGGAAUUGCGCUCAAAACUGCAAGGCUCGAAUUCGGGAGAGGAUAGCGGAAUUGUCAGUGUAGCAGUGAAAUGCGUAGAUAUUGACAGGAACACCAGUGGCGUAAGCGGCUAUCUGGACCGAUAUUGACGCUGAGGCACGAAAGCGUGGGGAGCAAACAGGAUUAGAUACCCGUGUAGUCC
Molecule: ribosomal RNA, 425 nt
Filed under: uncultured bacterium
Lineage: Bacteria
Description: bacterial SSU rRNA
Rfam family: Bacterial small subunit ribosomal RNA
Source: RNAcentral